AUUGCUUCUUGGCCUUUUGGCUAAGAUCGAAUGUAGUAUUUGUUCUCGUCAGCUUAAUUGUGUCUUCUAAUAUCCUAUUCUCUCUCCCUCU
This 91-nucleotide small nuclear RNA is filed under the name Suricata suricatta (meerkat). RNAcentral's name for it is "U2 spliceosomal RNA (ENSSSUG00005005965.1)". It matches the Rfam family "U2 spliceosomal RNA", at positions 1 to 62 of the family's 192-position model. From Rfam's summary of the family: U2 is a small nuclear RNA (snRNA) component of the spliceosome (involved in pre-mRNA splicing). Complementary binding between U2 snRNA (in an area lying towards the 5' end but 3' to hairpin I) and the branchpoint sequence (BPS) of the intron results the bulging out of an unpaired adenosine, on the BPS, which initiates a nucleophilic attack at the intronic 5' splice site, thus starting the first of two transesterification reactions that mediate splicing. Lineage: Eukaryota; Metazoa; Chordata; Mammalia; Carnivora; Herpestidae. The record is from RNAcentral.